Polypterus senegalus (gray bichir) is the source of this 282-nucleotide long non-coding RNA. RefSeq lists it as uncharacterized. NCBI's taxonomy places the organism in Eukaryota, Metazoa, Chordata, Cladistia, Polypteriformes, Polypteridae. The transcript has 3 exons. The record is from RefSeq and is a predicted model, not a curated record.
CAGCAGCAUUGUGCUGGCACAUCCAUCUUCAGCUGCUUUGUUCAUUACAGCUUAGCUCUGUAACCUGAAUUGAAAGGAAACCUCUUGUAAUAUACUCUUGUUUCUAUUGACCAGCAGGAACACAUGGGUUUUCUGUGACAUGGAGAGAUGGCAGGUGUGGCUGAGUGGAGACAAAGUGAGGAUUUUCAUAAAGAUUAGAGCAGGACUUUGCGAUGCACACUUGGAUCACUGGGAGCAAGGUAGGAACAAAACCCUGGAUAAGUUAAUAGUUCAUCUCAAGGC